AUUGAACGCUGGCGGCAUGCCUUACACAUGCAAGUCGAACGGCAGCGCGGGAGCAAUCCUGGCGGCGAGUGGCGAACGGGUGAGUAAUAUAUCGGAACGUGCCCAGUAGUGGGGGAUAACUGCUCGAAAGAGCAGCUAAUACCGCAUGAGACCUGAGGGUGAAAGCGGGGGACUCGCAAGAGCCUCGCGCUACUGGAGCGGCCGAUAUCAGAUUAGCUAGUUGGUGGGGUAAAGCCUACCAAGGCAACGAUCUGUAGUUGGUCUGAGAGGACGACCAGCCACACUGGGACUGAGACACGGCCCAGACUCCUACGGGAGGCAGCAGUGGGGAAUUUUGGACAAUGGGCGCAAGCCUGAUCCAGCAAUGCCGCGUGCAGGAAGAAGG
Molecule: ribosomal RNA, 385 nt
Filed under: uncultured bacterium
Lineage: Bacteria
Description: bacterial SSU rRNA
Rfam family: Bacterial small subunit ribosomal RNA
Source: RNAcentral